UAUCCUGUCUGAAUAUGGGGGGACCAUCCUCCAAGGCUAAAUACUCCUGACUGACCGAUAGUGAACCAGUACCGUGAGGGAAAGGCGAAAAGAACCCCGGCGAGGGGAGUGAAAAAGAACCUGAAACCGUGUACGUACAAGCAGUGGGAGCCCCACCACCAAAGCAUUUGCUGUACCGCGUUGACGGAGCGAAGCGACGUCAAACCGAUAAAACAGCAGUGUAAAGUGAGCCGCAGGGCGCUUUGCGCGACAGCGCAAAGGCAGGCGGUUUCGCGUAGCGAAAGCGAAUGCUUUGGGGUGGGGUGACUGCGUACCUUUUGUAUAAUGGGUCAGCGACUUAUAUUCUGUAGCAAGGUUAACCGAAUAGGGGAGCCGGAGGGAAACCGAGUCUUAAUUGGGCGUUAAGUUGCAGGGUAUAGACCCGAAACCCGGUGAUCUAGCCAUGGGCAGGUUGAAGGUUGGGUAACACUAACUGGAGGACCGAACCGACUAAUGUUGAAAAAUUAGCGGAUGACCUGUGGCUGGGGGUGAAAGGCCAAUCAAACCGGGAGAUAGCUGGUUCUCCCCGAAAGCUAUUUAGGUAGCGCCUCGUGAAUUCAUCUCCGGGGGUAGAGCACUGUUUCGGCUAGGGGGCCAUCCCGGCUUACCAACCCGAUGCAAACUGCGAAUACCGGAGAAUGUUAUCACGGGAGACACACGGCGGGUGCUAACGUCCGUCGUGAAGAGGGAAACAACCCAGACCGCCAGCUAAGGUCCCAAAGUCAUGGUUAAGUGGGAAACGAUGUGGGAAGGCCCAGACAGCCAGGAUGUUGGCUUAGAAGCAGCCAUCAUUUAAAGAAAGCGUAAUAGCUCACUGGUCGAGUCGGCCUGCGCGGAAGAUGUAACGGGGCUAAACCAUGCACCGAAGCUGCGGCAGCGACACUGUGUGUUGUUGGGUAGGGGAGCGUUCUGUAAGCCUGUGAAGGUGUGUCGUGAGGCAUGCUGGAGGUAUCAGAAGUGCGAAUGCUGACAUAAGUAACGAUAAAGCGGGUGAAAAGCCCGCUCGCCGGAAGACCAAGGGUUCCUGUCCAACGUUAAUCGGGGCAGGGUGAGUCGACCCCUAAGGCGAGGCCGAAAGGCGUAGUCGAUGGGAAACGGGUUAAUAUUCCCGUACUUGGUGUUACUGCGAAGGGGGGACGGAGAAGGCUAUGUUGGCCGGGCGACGGUUGUCCCGGUUUAAGCGUGUAGGUGUGUGUUCCAGGUAAAUCCGGUUCACUUUAACACUGAGGCGUGACGACGAGGCACUACGGUGCUGAAGCAACAAAUGCCCUGCUUCCAGGAAAAGCCUCUAAGCAUCAGGUAACAUCAAAUCGUACCCCAAACCGACACAGGUGGUCAGGUAGAGAAUACCAAGGCGCUUGAGAGAACUCGGGUGAAGGAACUAGGCAAAAUGGUGCCGUAACUUCGGGAGAAGGCACGCUGACACGUAGGUGAAGUGAUUUACUCAUGGAGCUGAAGUCAGUCGAAGAUACCAGCUGGCUGCAACUGUUUAUUAAAAACACAGCACUGUGCAAACACGAAAGUGGACGUAUACGGUGUGACGCCUGCCCGGUGCCGGAAGGUUAAUUGAUGGGGUCAGCGCAAGCGAAGCUCCUGAUCGAAGCCCCGGUAAACGGCGGCCGUAACUAUAACGGUCCUAAGGUAGCGAAAUUCCUUGUCGGGUAAGUUCCGACCUGCACGAAUGGCGUAAUGAUGGCCAGGCUGUCUCCACCCGAGACUCAGUGAAAUUGAACUCGCUGUGAAGAUGCAGUGUACCCGCGGCAAGACGGAAAGACCCCGUGAACCUUUACUAUAGCUUGACACUGAACAUUGAGCCUUGAUGUGUAGGAUAGGUGGGAGGCUUUGAAGUGUGGACGCCAGUCUGCAUGGAGCCGACCUUGAAAUACCACCCUUUAAUGUUUGAUGUUCUAACGUGGACCCGUUACCCGGGUUGCGGACAGUGUCUGGUGGGUAGUUUGACUGGGGCGGUCUCCUCCUAAAGAGUAACGGAGGAGCACGA
RNAcentral lists this ribosomal RNA (2038 nucleotides) under Salmonella enterica. RNAcentral's name for it is "partial 23S ribosomal RNA". It matches the Rfam family "Bacterial large subunit ribosomal RNA", at positions 430 to 2313 of the family's 2925-position model. Lineage: Bacteria; Pseudomonadati; Pseudomonadota; Gammaproteobacteria; Enterobacterales; Enterobacteriaceae. The record is from RNAcentral.